UGAGAUUUACCGAGGACGCCCACGGCCAAUCCAGCGAUAACAUCAGCUUCCUUCUAUUAUGAUGAGAGACAAACUCUCGAAACCAAGUGACAAAGGCUUAGCAACCCGACAAGUAAAGGCCAAAAACUAAACUUUAUAUAACACAUCCAUAUGUGGCAUGGACGAUUGUGCGUUAAGGAACGCCUAGAUAAAAACCUUAUAGAAGCGUUCCAACUUGAUGAACAUCCACAGACACUCGACCAAAAAGGUUACCAACCACAACGACCUCCACCUCCACCAAAGAGAAAACAACCUGAAAACUUAGUAUUAUCUUUACACAAAGAAGCCUCUGCUUAGUAGGGAGACGAUCCAAAUGGGAAAAAAAUCGAUAAAGCAAGCCAAAAGUAGUGAGCAAAGAGACGAAAGUUGGAUGGAGGCUAACAAGAGACCACACUCCAGCUAUGUCGGCGGAAUUGUAACAACGAAGAGCACAGAAACGACAACCAAAUUUGGGUCAAAGACAACAAAGAUAAUGACUUUAUUAUAAGCAUAUCGUAGAUCUAUUAGAUCCGACACCAACCUCUUCACAUAAUUCAUAACCAAACAUAUAUGAUAUGUUUUACCACUUCCUAAGAUAACACAGCUUCAAACCCAUAUUAAACGAGCGAGAAUCCCCAACUGAAUGCCAAAAAAUCAUAAAUCUAACGAAUUGAAAACAAUACAUUAAAGCAGGAAAAAAACGGGAAGCCAGAUGAGAAUCGCCGAUCAUCGAAUUCGUUUCUUC
This 763-nucleotide long non-coding RNA is filed under the name Capsella rubella. RNAcentral describes it as "long non-coding RNA (CRUB_LNC005135)". The record is from RNAcentral. Lineage: Eukaryota; Viridiplantae; Streptophyta; Magnoliopsida; Brassicales; Brassicaceae.